This 141-nucleotide transfer-messenger RNA is filed under the name bacterium. RNAcentral's name for it is "partial transfer-messenger RNA". It matches the Rfam family "transfer-messenger RNA", at positions 230 to 374 of the family's 374-position model. From Rfam's summary of the family: Bacterial tmRNA, also known as 10Sa RNA or SsrA, is named for its dual tRNA and mRNA-like properties. Its role is to liberate the mRNA from a stalled ribosome. To accomplish this part of the tmRNA is used as a reading frame that ends in a translation stop signal. The record is from RNAcentral.
GGACGUGAGACUCAGAGGCUGGCUUCUUGCUUGAUCUGUCGCUGGAUUUGGCAUUUGGCGAGAACUAAACGGCGACUAAGCCUGUAGUAGGUCCUCCGGCCGCUAUUUCGGACGCGGGUUCGAUUCCCGCCGUCUCCACAA